GAUGAACGCUGGCGGCGUGCCUAACACAUGCAAGUCGAGCGAACGGACGAGAAGCUUGCUUCUCUGAUGUUAGCGGCGGACGGGUGAGUCACACGUGGAUAACCUACCUAUAUGACUGGGAUAACUUCGGGAAACCGGAGCUAAUACCGGAUGAUAUUUUGAACCGCAUGGUUCAAUAGUGAAAGACGGUCUUGCUGUCACUUAUAGAUGGAUCCGCGCUGCAUUAGCUAGUUGGUAAGGUAACGGCUUACCAAGGCAACGAUGCAUAGCCGACCUGUGAGGGUGAUCGGCCACACUGGAACUGAGACGCGGUCCAGACUCCUACGGGAGGCAGCAGUAGGGAAUGUUCGGCAAUGGUCGAAAGCCUGACGGAGCAACGCCGAGUGAGUGAUGGAGGUCUUCGGAUCGUAAAGCUCUGUUAUUGGGGAAGAACAUAUGUGUAAUUAGCUGAAGACAUCGUGACGGUACCGAAUCAAAAAGCAACGGCUAACUACGUG
Molecule: ribosomal RNA, 497 nt
Filed under: uncultured bacterium
Lineage: Bacteria
Description: partial 16S ribosomal RNA
Rfam family: Bacterial small subunit ribosomal RNA
Source: RNAcentral